GACAGAGGUGCCGAGCGUUAGGCGGAAUCACUGGGCUUAAAGCGUGUGUAGGCGGACGGGUAAGUACCUUGUGAAAUCCCACGGCUCAACCGUGGAACUGCUGGGUAUACUGCCUGUCUUGAGUCAUCUAGGGGCGAGCGGAACAAAUGGUGGAGCGGUGAAAUGCGUAGAUAUCCGGAGGAACACCGACGGCGUAGGCAGCGCCCUAGACGAGACCUGACGCUCAGGCACGAAAGCGCGGGGAGCGAACAGG
RNAcentral lists this ribosomal RNA (253 nucleotides) under uncultured bacterium. RNAcentral describes it as "partial 16S ribosomal RNA". It matches the Rfam family "Bacterial small subunit ribosomal RNA", at positions 524 to 776 of the family's 1533-position model. The record is from RNAcentral.